CCUAUAUUGUAAUAUCCUCUUCACUAUAGCAUAGAAACGCAAACGAAGACGGAAAUAAACAAUUGUGGUCUUAGUGUCAGCCUCAUAGGCAGGCCCGGCCCUUUACACAUUCUUGAGAUACAUGUGUAUGGGGCCUCAACAUAUAUAAGCCCAUUUUUAACUUUUUUUUUUUUUGUAAUGUUUAUUAAAGACAACAAAUGAAUUAGUUAGAAGAAAGCAUUUUAGAGGCCCGGAUGUUUUAUAUAGAGGCCCCAAUUUUUGGAAAUUUUUUGUUUUUGGCAAAUUUUACAGUAUUAUUUUAUAUGUAGAGGCCCCAAUUUUUUAUUUUGCAUUGGGCCACAACUAUUACAGGACCGGGCCUCCUCAUAGGCAGAUUAAGCAUGAUGAUUCUUAAUUAAAUUUAUGGAUAAGAGUUAGAACAUGCUUAUGCUAUUUAAUUAAGAAUAAACUAACAUGCAUGUAUAAAUACCAGAAUAAACUUAUGUUAGUAU
This 491-nucleotide long non-coding RNA is filed under the name Arabidopsis lyrata. RNAcentral's name for it is "long non-coding RNA (ALYR_LNC002667)". Lineage: Eukaryota; Viridiplantae; Streptophyta; Magnoliopsida; Brassicales; Brassicaceae. The record is from RNAcentral.